ACGCGAAAGGCCCCUUCGGGGGCCGAGUAGAGUGGCGUCCGGGUGAGUAACACGUAGGUAAUCUACCUCUGGGUGGGGAAUAACGACCGGAAACGGUCGCUAAUACCGCAUAAUGCAGCGGCACCACAUGGUGACAGUUGUUAAAGCGGGGGAUCGCAAGACCUCGCGCCUAGAGAGGAGCCUGCGGCGGAUUAGCUAGUUGGCAGGGUAAUGGCCUACCAAGGCGACGAUCCGUAGCCGGCCUGAGAGGGCGGUCGGCCACACUGGCACUGACACACGGGCCAGACUCCUACGGGAGGCAGCAGUCGGGAAUUUUGGGCAAUGGGCGAAAGCCUGACCCAGCAACGCCGCGUGAAGGAUGAAGCUUUUCGGAGUGUAAACUUCAUAAGAAUGGGACGAAUAAGGAAGGGCUAAUACCCCUUUUGAUGACGGUACCAUUUGUAAGCUCCGGCUAACUCCGUGCCAGCAGCCGCGGUAAUACGGGGGGAGCAAGCGUUG
Molecule: ribosomal RNA, 498 nt
Filed under: uncultured bacterium
Lineage: Bacteria
Description: bacterial SSU rRNA
Rfam family: Bacterial small subunit ribosomal RNA
Source: RNAcentral